AAUAAAAUAAAAUAUUCAAGCAGAGACUGAAUAAACAACCAAUUCACAAGGUGUCCCAAGUAAAUGAAAAACCAACUCUAACUAGAUUAAAUGACACAAGAAUAUCUUGUUUCAUGUAACAGAAAGUUCAGAUGUGAGGCAGGCUGCAGGCAUAGCAUGAUCAAGGCUCCAGUCCACUUUCCUCCCAGCUCUACCCCCCUCUUCAUGUUGGCUUUAUCCUUAGACUCUAUUCUCUCAUUGUCAAAGGAGGGUUGUCAAACCAAACAAAUAAGCUUUGAGACAACAUGUUUAUUUGGUCAUGUCUAGUGGAAGGAAGAGAAAAUCUUUCAACCAUGGGAUGUAUGUCCUUUCCUUCAGUCCACUUGGCCCAAUUAGGCCAUGCAUCCAUCUCUGGAUCUAAGGCCCUGACACGAAAGCCGCAUGGUGGUUGGCUUAGGCUAGAUCCUUUAGCCAGUCGCUGAUAAGGAGAAUGUCAUGAUUAACUCAGACCAGUCAGGACUUCCCUUGGAGGGAGCUGGGGAUGGAGCAGCUUAGCUUCAGUCAAAAGAGAGGCAAGGAUAUUGAGUGACUACAUGAACAAAAUCAGGAUCUAACAGAAAGGAGGAGAAGGGAGAAAUCAAACCAGAUAGGCAACCAACAGUGCCUAAGGCAGCAAAAAAAAAAAAAGAUGGAUUAAGUCCUUAUUAAAUUCUAAUGGGAUAACUAAAAAAUUAAUUUAGACCCUUACCUCUCACCAUAUGAGAAAUCCUUUGUACUCUAGAUCAGGAGUGUUUGUGAUUCUGGGUCCAUCAUCCCAAGUGAGGCAGAGGGCUCCAGAAUGGAGAUCCCCGGGGGUCUUCCUUCACGGGCUAUUACUUUGGGCUGGUUCACACUGGCAGGACCUUGACCUCUUAGGUCCUUUCAUUCCCUCUCCCCUUCUGUUCCUCUUCCUUCCCCAUCCUUCCACGUAAUGCCGACCUUUGUCACCAGUGGGUGGUGCUACAUUUUUACUGUAGGACUUCAGACCCCCUGUCCACAAUUAGUCGAUCCCAGAACCACCUGCACCCAGGGAUUCCCAGGGAGAACUGUCAACACUAAUCCCUCUGUGGACCUGACCUGGUAUUACUACAGCUGGAAAACAAUUACCUCCCUUUUGUUCCCUGAAGUCUGAGGACCUCCACCCCCCUCAGGCAAAUUCCAAGUGUGAUACAGGUUUUUUCCUUCCUAGCUGUGCGUUCCAUGGGCUAUAGAGCACGGAUUACUAUGAAUUUCAUUUCAUUACCAUUGAAUGUAAGAAGCAUCACACUUCUUUACUUUUCUAUAUCAAAUUAAAAUGGAUCUUGCCCCCCAUCCCCCACCUUAACAAAGACAAUAAGUGUGUCCAUCUCGGUCCUGGAGGAGCCCCGUUCUGUGACGGUCUUCAACAGUGCACAGUGUUUGGGCUCACCAGUCAUGCUGAUGUGUGCACUGUCCAAGCUGCAGCGUUCCUUCAGGGCAAGCAGCUCCCAUGCCCUCCUGCCCAGCUUGACCCCCCGCCCAGCCGCCCAGGAUGCAUCAUGCAGCCUCUCCCCUCUGUGGUUUUGCUCUGGAAGGAGACAAGUUCCGCUCAAGGGACCCCAAGUUUCUAACCUAUCAAUCUUGGAAAUGCCCCCUCUCCCUCCAGGUGGACCCCUGUGGCCUCAUCCCUCAUCACUUCCCCCCCACCAGUCCCAUCAGUUUCUCCUCCCCCGGUAGGGUCCCUCAUAAUCUCUCCUCUAGGGGUUUUGAAAUGACAUGGGCCUGCCUUUCCUGAAGACAGACGUGGGAAACAGACAUACUGAAACUAGUCCUUUUUUUUUUUUCUUUUUGUUAACAUAAGUUAUUUCAGUAGUCUAGGGGAGAACCUAAAGGUAAGGUUUGAACUGUCCAGAGAAUCGGGGAGUGCAGAUGAAAUGUGAAUCUCAGACCCCAGACUCUAAGAGACAAGGGCUAGUCCACUUGAUACUUAUGCUCUGUCCUUGAGCAGGAGCUUAUGUUAACACUCAUCGACAUUAGACGUAGGACUCAAGGAAGGAGCUCCAGCGACGGCAGCGUGUGGUAGCCCCCUCCGCCCCCCAGGGAGCCCAAGCAGUGGGGGCAGAGAACAGACACCCACCUCUCACUGUGGAAAUGCACCGUCUUGUCCUUUGCCUUUGGUUUAACCAAGAAGAAACUACAAUACUUGUGGAUGAAGGUACUGUCCUGGAGGCUGUCCAGAGAAAGGCCAAUGGACAGGUCACAAGUGACGGAGGCAGGCAUGAGGGCCCUGGAGCACCUGCUGUGGGCAUUCAUGGGACCGGCAGGUUAUUCCGGAUGAGUGGCCAUCACGUUCCUUGUUCUGCCUGAGGUAAUUGCUAUGAAUGUGCCUCAUUCACUACUUAGCAUAAAUUAGGCUUUCGAAUCUUAGCUAAAGGUUUGGGAAAAUGCACGUGUGCAGCGUUAGAUCUACUAGCAGAGAUCUAGUAGAUUCCCACAGCUAGAUCUACCAGCAGAGGUCAGCUUUAGCAGGCAGUAACAACAGUUGGAGGGUACGUGUGUGUGUUUAAUGAGCUGCUGAGAUCAAUUGUUGUCGGUAUGAUUCUCUCCAAUGCGUUGGAGAAUUGUUUCCUUGCCUGCAAUCACGUCCAUUUGGUAAGGACCGUUCGUGACUCAGCGGUCCUGAGAAGCAUAUGGAUUUUCCACCCUAAACCAAGUUCGUGAGCCCUAGCUUUUCACUAGCUUACGUGCUUUUCUUCCCUCCCUGCAAAGUACAAAUCUAAUUCUAAUAGCACUCCCCUGUGUGUGCUGGCCAAGAACCCCAAGGGCCCGAGUUAUGGAUCGAUUAGUCAUCCUACUAAAGCACAAUUCAAUUGGCUUCAAGUCAGUGGGAGGGCUGACCCAGCCAGACCCACACCUUCAUGCGGCCGUGUUGGUCUUGACAGAUUUCUGCCAGGUACACUGUCAUCCUCCUCAAGCAGCGGUGAUCAGCCGAGGUGAUGUUGCCCCCAGCAGCAUGUCUGGAGACAUUGCUGGUUGUCGCAACUAGGAGGAAGAUGCUACUGGUGUCUGGUGGGUAGAGGUCAGGGAUGCUGCUGAGCCUCCUACCGCACACAGGACAGCCCCCCAGUGACACAGGACAGCCCCCCAGUGACAAAGACUCAUCCGCCUAAAAUUUCAAAAGUGCCAAGUUUGAGUAUGGGCCUGCCCGGAAGGAAUGAUUAAGAAAUAAACAUUCGGUUUAUUUGUAAGCAUCGUCCGCACUUUUGUUUGGGAUAUUCAGAUAACCAUCUAGCAGAUGUCAUUAUAGAAAUGCUGUAAUGUGUAGAGCCGAUGUGGCAGAAUGUAGUUUACUCUACCAACGUACUUCGGGCUCAGUACUAGGGCACGACUGGGGAUCUCAAGGAGACACUUGAAUUUUUCAGCUGGACUUAAUUCCAUCUUGUGUGGGGUAUUAUGUAUUAUUUGGGACUUGGAAGCUUCGGAGUUCUGAAGAUGUGAAUCAGAAUUAGCUACCUGCUAUCCAGUUACUUGUCUGUGCCAGGCUCAGCAGCGGGCACUUCAAUCCCCCUCGCCCUUUCAAGGUGGAGCACUGCCAACCCCAUUUUGCCGAUGCAGGAGUGGAAAGUUGGUGAAUGAUGAAACAGGGAUGCAAACCCAAAUCUCAGAGCCUUUACUCAUUCCUCUGAGGUACACAACCCCCAGGGACCACCAAAUUCUUCUAACCCUAGAACCAACAUAUCUGAGCAACAGGAAAGGUAAAGUAACUGGGAGAUAACCGGGAACAUCUUUAUCUGAAAUGUGCCUACAUCACUCCACAUGUGCUGAGUCUCUGCUUCCCUUCUUGGGUGUGUGCAACGUGGCUGGAAAGGGUCGUUCGGGUCAUUUCUACAAACCUCCCAUCAUGUGGAUAAUUCAGGCAAAGCAGAAACUGGGUUUUUCUUGAAUUACCUAGACAAGAGUAGCUGAAAGGACAGUCCCGCACCCCUUAACAUGAUCAGGCUACAGAAUUCAAUGCGGUCCCGUGGCUUCCGGCCUGAGAAGCACCCACUUGUGCUCUUUGUCCGUGCCUGUCCCAUCAUUAUUUAUCAUUCUGGCUUUGGGGGAAUCUCAUCAAGUUUUCUUAAGAACAAGCAAGAAACGAGUCUAUUCUGGAAAUUGUAUCACAUUCAACUCCAAAUUAAUUAACAGCCCCUGACUGUUUUUUCACAAGAUUUCGGCACAGAGCUAGUGUCAGGGCGGAAGGGAGACAGGCUGUGUCUCCCAGGCGCCCCCGAGUAUGGCCCAUCAGGAUUCGGGGGACACGUGGUAACGAUAGUUGGGGACCCGCCGCACACCGCACAUCUCUCUGAUGGGGAGGUCUGCUUCUUCUUCGAACGGAACACAGCUACCAGAUUUCAGAGCUCAGGGGGUGGUGUUGAGCUUCUGCACAUCCUGACAAACGUGAAAGCUUCAUCUUCUCUGUAGGCACUUUAUAGAUUUAUUACAAAGGGCGUGCCUUGAAAACCGUCUUGGGAUCUACGUUCUUAUUCGUCUGGUGGAGAAGAGCUGGUAUCGGGGGCCUGGAUCGUUGUACUUGCAGUGUGCCCUCCAAACCCCGAAGGCUUCCUUCCGCUGGAGAAUUUUGUUUUGGUGAUUUUGUGUCUAGAACCCAAUUAUCCUGAGCUCUUUUCAAGUAAAGCUGUACAAACCCAGAGACCAUUUCAGCAGGGAAGCUGCACCCCGCUCCAUCCCUGCCACCAGUGCUGAGGGAUGCACGGGACGCACAGGGUCUGCCCGGCUAUGCUGCUCUGGAUGGUGGUGCCUGUCGUUAACUACACAGAGUCUGGUUUUUUUAAACCCCUCUGAAAGCUUCUAGGUCAUGAUUUCUUCAAAGUCGGACAGCUGCAUCAUCUGCUCCACUUGCAUAGAGUGCCUCCUGAGGAGCUUCCUUUUACUUCUCAAGUCAACUCUCUUUGGUGAACUUGGAGCAACGGGAACCAUGGGUUUUAAGCCGCUCGCAAGUGGAGCAGGUUUGCUGCUAGAUCUGAUGUCAGGGAUAGGUGGGUUCACACUUACAUUUAAAGGCGGAAGGAAGCCGGGCCUGGUGUGCGAAAUUCGGUCCAGCAGCAGAGUUCCAGAACCUCGCCUUUCCAGGAGAUGCGGUGGCCUGCGGCGCGCCGAGUUGGGGGACGUGCUGGGCGCAGCGUCCAGGGACUCCCGCGAGCCGUGGAAGAGAGCCAGGAGGGAGCCGUUGAGCCUCUUCCUGUCCGAGGGCCCUUUGCUUGACUCCAGGGAACCCGAGCUGAGCUGGUCAGCCCCUGCCUGUAAGUCUAAAUCAUGCAGAUCACUCUCUAGCCGUUUGAGGGACACUGAAUCUUUGAGAGCAGGGGGCCCUGCUGGACUGACACCUGCCUUCUCCUGGUCGACAGGGAGAGUUCCUCUUCGGGCCAGACGAGGGUGGGAAGACUGACCCUUCUCAUAGGCUGCCUUCCAGGAUGCUGGUGCCGGGGAGGCUGGGAUCUUCAGAACCUGCUCCGUGACUGUGGGAAAGAGGGUGGGGUCUUUGCCAUCGAUACUGUUGGUUCUGGAGAGCGGCCCCUUUUUGGGGAAGGACACAUCGCUGAUGCUCUUGAUGACCUCACUGUCCGGGCUGGGGCCGUGGGUCUCGUCCUGACGUAUGUUAGCAGCCAGCACGGACGGUGCAAUCAGGCCCCAGGGUUCAGACUGGAGCCUCUUCAGCUGGGGCAGGCGGGCCCUCUUGAGGUUCCCUACUUUCCUGGUGGGUGACCCAGGCUCAUUCAGAGACUUGGCGGUGUUGCAACCACUCAGAUGCCCUGUUUGGAGGCUGAAGAGAUCAUCUUCCCUCUCAUUGGGUGGAGAGCCCAGGCCUGGAGCCUUCAGUUCGAUCUCCGAAGGAGACAUGCACAGUGGAGGCAUCAAGCAGGUGCUUCAGGGCGUCUUUGUCAUCUGCGUUGAUCGCGUAGACCAGGGCCGAAGCCCCAGUGCGGUCCUCGAGGCUGGGGUCCGCCCCGUUCUCCAGGAGUAGGGACACCACUUCUCCCCCAGCCCUCCUGAUGCACGCGUGGAUGAGCGCCGUCUUGCCAGACUUGUCCUGGAUGUUGGGGUCUGCCCUGUUGUCCAGCAGGAGGAGCCUGGUCAGCCUGAGCCUUCCUAGCCACACCGCCUUUAGGAGUGAGUUUCCAUCGGUCCUCAGCUCCGUGUCGUCGUCCAUCAUGCUGGCCUCAGCGCCUCCGAGCCACCGUGGCGAUCAGACCUAGCAAGGGAAGAAGAGAGAAGAAUGUCGUGUGCUCUGUAGGUGACCUGAGUGGUGUGGCUGGUACAGGGCUGGAUGCAGUCGUAUCCCACCUGGUCCCAAGUGAUGCCAGGUGAUCCGGCUUGUCUGCAUCUGUUUCCUCAUCUGUGAUGUGUGUGGGGGAAGGGGGGUCAGGGGGAUGAUGGCAGCGCCUCAUAGAGCCAGGGUGGAGCUCGAACAAGAGCACGUACAGAAAACCCUCACCACAGUAAAGCAGCUGACCCGGGGCUAGCGCAGAGUAAGCAAGACAAACGGCCGUCGCUGGGCUCCCCGCCCGAUGCUUACCUGAAAUGUCGUGUGGGAGACCAUGCUUCGUGCCUGUGGGCACACCAGCGUCACAUCCCACAAGGAAAGGUGUGUGUCUGCCUUGUUCGCUGCUGUAGCCCCAGCACUGAGCAGCGAUACACACCUCACGGGUCACUUCGUAAAGGAUCGUUCACUGCAUUGUUCUGCCAGCAGGAAACACACCAGAAUGGUUGCAGUCGCUACUUUUCCAGCAGAUGUCAGAAUCCUCUCCAUCCUCCUCCUAGUCUUCCAGAACGAUGCCACACCACAUCCUUCCCAUGAACAGCACUCUUCAUGUUUCUGACUGCAAGACCUCCUGCUCUUCUUUAAUUAUUCAUCAUCCUGCAAACCUCAGCUCAAAUGUUACUUCCUUUUUAAUCAAGAGGAGAAUCACUCAGGAUCGAAGCAGGAGGGCGGAGUGAGAUUACAACUGACUCAUACCCAGGCUAUAUAAAGAACUCCCACAAAUCACUUCCUCCAAAAGAGGAUACGCAAAUGGCCAAUAAGCACAUAAAAAGGUGCUCAGCCUCAUUAGUAGUCAGAGAAGAUCAAAUUAAAGCACAAUGAGAUACCACUACACAUGGUGUCUAAUUCAACGUGGCUGAAAUUAGACCGGCUGGUCUAAUACCAGGGAUGGAUCAGGACGCAAAGCAACUGGAACCUGUUGGUGGGGGCAUAAACCAGCCCUCCAACCCGGUGAUUCCAUGCCCGGGCUUAUAUCUGUGGUAGACGGAAAAGCGUGGCCACAAAGUCCUCCCAUCCCCGAGCACCUGCAAAGAGAUACUGCCCCUCCUCCCGUCGAGACCUGCUUUGACCAAGGAAACACAGCCCGAGUAACCGUGUGUGACUUGCGAGGCAAGGCCUCUUGCAGCUUCCGAUUUCCUACCUUGUAAAGACACGUGGGCUGUCCUGCCAGCAAGAACACAUGGAGCCCCAGCUGACCAGCCCCGCUGACCGCCACAGUGUGAGCCAGCCGGCCCCCAGCUGGGUACAACUGCGGGAAGGAACCCAGGUGAGGCCGGCGGAAGUUUCCAGAGCCUGGUCCAAGUUGCAGAAAUGUGCACGAAUAAGUGGUUAUUGUUCUAAGCCACUCAUUUUGGGAUGGUUCAUUCACAUCAAUAAAUUACCAGUAAAUCCGUGUAGCCAAACAUGUACAAAAAUGUUCCCAGCAGCACUAUUCAUAAAAAGCAAAACUAGAAACAGCCCACCAAGGAGAAAAUAAACUGUAGUGUAUUCAUAUGCUGGAAUGCUUUACACGAUCUUUGCAUUCUCUCUCUUUCUCACACUCACACACAGUACACAGACGCU
This is a non-coding RNA of Leptonychotes weddellii (Weddell seal), 7861 nucleotides long. NCBI's taxonomy places the organism in Eukaryota, Metazoa, Chordata, Mammalia, Carnivora, Phocidae. The record is from RefSeq and is a predicted model, not a curated record.